GAUGAAGAACGUAGUGAAAUGCGAUAAGUAAUGUGAAUUGCAGAAUUCAGUGAAUCAUCGAAUCUUUGAACGCACAUUGCGCCCGUCAGUAUUCUGGCGGGCAUGCCUGUUCGAGCGUCAUUACGCCCCUCAAGUCCCCUGUGGACUUGGUGUUGGGGAUCGGCGAGGCUGGUUUUCCAGCACAGCCGUCCCUUAAAUUAAUUGGCGGUCUCGCCGUGGCCCUCCUCUGCGCAGUAGUAAAACACUCGCAACAGGAGCCCGGCGCGGUCCACUGCCGUAAAACCCCCCAACUUUUUAUAGUUGACCUCGAAUCAGGUAGGACUACCCGCUGAACUUAAGCAUAUAAUAAGCGGAGGA
This 357-nucleotide unclassified non-coding RNA is filed under the name soil metagenome. Its description in RNAcentral is "partial contains 5.8S ribosomal RNA, internal transcribed spacer 2, and large subunit ribosomal RNA". The stretch from base 1 to 120 matches the Rfam family "5.8S ribosomal RNA", at positions 35 to 154 of the family's 154-position model. The record is from RNAcentral.